RNAcentral lists this transfer RNA (72 nucleotides) under Pyronema omphalodes CBS 100304. RNAcentral describes it as "tRNA-Asp". It matches the Rfam family "tRNA". Rfam says of the family: Transfer RNA (tRNA) molecules are approximately 80 nucleotides in length. Their secondary structure includes four short double-helical elements and three loops (D, anti-codon, and T loops). Further hydrogen bonds mediate the characteristic L-shaped molecular structure. tRNAs have two regions of fundamental functional importance: the anti-codon, which is responsible for specific mRNA codon recognition, and the 3' end, to which the tRNAs corresponding amino acid is attached (by aminoacyl-tRNA synthetases). tRNAs cope with the degeneracy of the genetic code in two manners: having more than one tRNA (with a specific anti-codon) for a particular amino acid; and 'wobble' base-pairing, i.e. permitting non-standard base-pairing at the 3rd anti-codon position. Lineage: Eukaryota; Fungi; Ascomycota; Pezizomycetes; Pezizales; Pyronemataceae. The record is from RNAcentral.
UCCUCGGUAGUAUAGUGGUUAGUAUUUCCGCCUGUCACGCGGGAGACCGGGGUUCAAUUCCCCGCCGAGGAG